GUAGGAGGAGGUGGAUGGAGUGAAGGUUAAGCAGCAUUGGGUUGGGGGAUGGUGAAGCAGUGUUUCUGGGUGGAUUAAGCUCUUCUGUCUCUUCCUUUUGGGGCACCUGAGCUCCAUUUCUGCUGUAAGCAACGUGUCUGAGGCUGCAGUAGUUGGGCAGGUGGAGCAGCACCAUCAUGUCUGAUUUCCUUGGAAGCCUUGUGCUACAGGGCAAGAGCUGUCAGGUUGUACAAGCGCUGGUGGUCAUAGGAGAGACAGCUUCGUCACCCACCCUUCCAGUGGCAGAGAUGCAUGUGAUGGCUGGAAGAGAAGAGGUUAAUCAGUUAAAUAUGUGACAACUGGAAGAAAAGCAUACAUCCUACAUUUUCUGUUACUUGUUUUACCAUCCAUUCAUGGAGAGAGUGUGUGUAUUUUGUGAAUCUACUCAGUAUCAUUUGUUUUUCAUAAAGUUGUUUUUUUCUUUUUAAUAUCAAAUUUGUGAGGGUAGCCCUUCAGAAAGGAGGAGAUGACUCUCCUUUCUGGACUUGAAAGCAUCAGCUGCCUUUUAAAACUCCCUAGACAAUUGCCUUGUAUUGCUGGCGUUCUGAUCCUGUUCUGCGUGAUGAAUAACUAAGCACCUAAGGUUGUCAUCCUCCCUUCUAUCAAAGUCUCAUGCUAUCUCUCAGAAAUUCAAAACAUCUUCAGAGGGCAUAAAUAAGCACUUGGCUACUGUGACGAAUUUGCUCCAACAUCCAGGAUGGAACUGAUGAAGACUUCCAGCAACACAGAUACAAUUGCAUUUUGUCUCUAAAUAGCAUCCCAGGUCUCAUUAGCAAGUAGCACUGCUAAGUUAGAAUGACCUCAUCCACCGUAAAAUAACCAGAAUGUGAUCACUGAGGCUGAUGUCAGCAUGGAUAGUUCCGAAACAGCAAGGUGCUCCAGGAGGGUGCAGAAAAUGCAUUCAGAAGUACAACAACCAAACAAAUCAGCGUGGAUAUAAAAAA
This is a long non-coding RNA of Numida meleagris (helmeted guineafowl), 983 nucleotides long. RefSeq lists it as uncharacterized. NCBI's taxonomy places the organism in Eukaryota, Metazoa, Chordata, Aves, Galliformes, Numididae. The record is from RefSeq and is a predicted model, not a curated record. The transcript has 3 exons.